Long non-coding RNA from Myotis brandtii (Brandt's bat), 179 nucleotides. RefSeq lists it as uncharacterized. The transcript has 3 exons. The record is from RefSeq and is a predicted model, not a curated record. Lineage: Eukaryota; Metazoa; Chordata; Mammalia; Chiroptera; Vespertilionidae.
GCAGGUUCAGACAUUUCGUGUAUGUGCUUGGCUGAGGAGCCAAUGGGGCGAAGCUACCAUCUGUGGGAUUAUGUCUGAGCGCCUCUAAGUCAGAAUCCCGCCCAGGCGGAACGAUACAGCAGCGCCGCGGAAGCCUCGGUUGGCCUCGGAUAGCCGGUCCCGCAGAUCGGAAGAGCACA